GACGAACCACACAAACGUUAUUCGGAAUUACUGGGCUUAAAGGGUGCGUAGGCGGCCUUGUAAGUCAGUGCUGAAAUAUCCCGGCUUAACCGGGAGGGUGGCAUUGAUACUGCAGGGCUUGAGUAAAGUUGAGGUUGGCGGAAUUGACGGUGUAGCGGUGAAAUGCUUAGAUAUCGUCAAGAACACCGAUAGUGAAGACAGCUAACUAAGCUUUAACUGACGCUGAGGCACGAAAGUGUGGGGAUCAAACAGG
Molecule: ribosomal RNA, 253 nt
Filed under: uncultured bacterium
Lineage: Bacteria
Description: partial 16S ribosomal RNA
Rfam family: Bacterial small subunit ribosomal RNA
Source: RNAcentral